GCCCGGCUAGCUCAAUCGGUAGAGCGUGAGACUCUUAACAUCACGUGAUCAUCUCAAGGUUGUGGGUUCGACCCCCACGUCGGGCU
This is a non-coding RNA of Podospora aff. communis PSN243, 86 nucleotides long. Lineage: Eukaryota; Fungi; Ascomycota; Sordariomycetes; Sordariales; Podosporaceae. The record is from the annotation of a GenBank genome assembly.